AGGUCAAGCAAUAAGGGCACAGGGCGGAUGCUUGGCACUAAGAGCCGAUGAAAGACGUGAUAAGCUGCGAUAAGCUUCGGGGAGGAGCAAAUAUCCAUUGAUCCGGAGAUGUCUGAAUGGGGAAACCCACAUGAGCAAACCUCAUGUAUCCAUACGCCAAUCCAUAACGUAUGGAAGGGAACCCGGGGAACUGAAACAUCUAAGUACCCGGAGGAAAAGAAAGAAAACUCGAUUCCGUAAGUAGCGGCGAGCGAACGCGGAGGAGCCUAAACCGGAAUGCGUGCAUUCCGGGGUUACGGACUGCAUUUAAGAUUCAGUGAUGUUAACAGAACGGUUUUGGGAAAGCCGGCCGGAGAGGGUGAAAGCCCCGUACGUGAAAGCAGAGCUGACUGAGCAGGAUCCAGAGUACCACGAGACACGUGGAACCUUGUGGGAAAUCAGGGGGACCACCCCCUAAGGCUAAAUACUACUUAGUGACCGAUAGCGCAUAGUACUGUGAAGGAAAGGUGAAAAGGACCCCGGGAGGGGAGUGAAAGAGAACCUGAAACCCUGUGUCUACAAGCUGUGGAAGCACUUUAUAUGUGCGACCGCGUACUUUUUGUAGAACGGUCCGGCGAGUUACGCUUACUGGCAAGGUUAAGCACUUCAGGUGUGGAGCCGUAGGGAAACCAAGUCUUAAGAGGGCCAGAGUCAGUAGGAGUAGACCCGAAACCGGGUGAUCUAUCCAUGUCCAGGUUGAAGCUGCCGUAAGAGGUAGUGGAGGACCGAACCCACAUCCGUUGAAAAGGGUGGGGAUGAGGUGUGGAUAGGGGAGAAAUUCCAAUCGAACCCGGAGAUAGCUGGUUCUCCUCGAAAUAGCUUUAGGGCUAGCCUCGAUACAGAUUUGCGGAGGUAGAGCACUGAAUUUCCUAGGGGGCGUCAAAGCCUACCGAAGAAUAUCAAACUCCGAAUGCCGCGUAAUCGAUUAUCGGGAGUCAGACUGCACGAGAUAAGUUGGGCGGUCAAAAGGGAAAGAGCCCAGACCUUCAGUUAAGGUCCCCAAGUGCGCGUUAAGUGGAAAAGGAUGUGGGAUUUCGAAGACAACCAGGAUGUUGGCUCAGAAGCAGCCAUCCAUUCAAAGAGUGCGUAAUAGCUCACUGGUCGAGAGGUCCUGCGCCGAAAAUGUCCGGG
This 1170-nucleotide ribosomal RNA is filed under the name Ruminococcus sp. AM54-14NS. RNAcentral's name for it is "partial 23S ribosomal RNA". It matches the Rfam family "Bacterial large subunit ribosomal RNA", at positions 1 to 1179 of the family's 2925-position model. The record is from RNAcentral. Lineage: Bacteria; Bacillati; Bacillota; Clostridia; Eubacteriales; Oscillospiraceae.